AUAGUUCAAAUUGGAGGGAGCUUGGGCAGAUACCACCUUUUCUUUUAAGGAAUGAAUUUGACUUUUGCUGAUGGAGCCUCUCUGAAGGGCAAAUUCAAAGUACAGCUGGGUGCUGCAGCACUGGAGUGCGAACUUGUGGCUGUGGUUAUGAAGGAGCCUCGUCAGCUAUGCCUUUAGCCCCUGGUGAAGCAGUGCCAGUCACACUUUGCCAGUCAAACGGAGAGGCAGCAGUAGUAAGACCAGACCAAAUCAAACCAAACCAAGCAAACCACGGGGAAUGGAGGUCAUGUGAGCACACAGCAUAAAGGCAGCUGCCCACAAGCCAGGAAGAGAAGCAUCAUCAGAAACCGACCAUACUGGCUUCCUGAUCUCAGACUUUCAGCCUCCAGAAUGAGAUGGGGGUGUGAAAGGAAAUGAAAUCUUGGGACCCUAAACUCAUUAAGCCAAAGGGAAAAGCUGGGCCGAGAACUGGAUGAUGCAACCUGCUUCCACCUUUUUGCUUCCUAAAUAAGAUGGCUACAAGAUGAAAAGCUAUACAUCUCUGCCAUAUUUUGCCCACAAGGAAAUUCCUAGUGAGCUUCAAGAUCUUUUAAGGUGUUUCUGUUAAAAUUUCACAAUUUCGCCAUUGCAAUGUAAAUUUAUAGCUUAUCCUUACAGGUGCAGUCAUCUCCCUGCCCACCAGACACAAAGGCAUAUCUGAUUGUUCUCCUGCCCCAUUUUGUCUAUGUUAUCUUAUGUAAAAUACAG
Molecule: long non-coding RNA, 747 nt
Filed under: Homo sapiens (human)
Lineage: Eukaryota; Metazoa; Chordata; Mammalia; Primates; Hominidae
Description: HSALNT0367846
Source: RNAcentral